GAGUUUGAUUAUGGCUCAGAUUGAACGCUGGCGGCAGGCUUAACACAUGCAAGUCGAACGAUGAUUACUAGCUUGCUAGUAUGAUUAGUGGCGAACGGGUGAGUAAUGCUUAGGAAUCUGCCUAUUAGUGGGGGACAACAUUCCGAAAGGAAUGCUAAUACCGCAUACGUCCUACGGGAGAAAGCAGGGGAUCUUUUGACCUUGCGCUAAUAGAUGAGCCUAAGUCGGAUUAGCUAGUUGGUGGGGUAAAGGCCUACCAAGGCGACGAUCUGUAGCUGGUCUGAGAGGAUGAUCAGCCACACUGGGACUGAGACACGGCCCAGACUCCUACGGGAGGCAGCAGUGGGGAAUAUUGGACAAUGGGCGAAAGCCUGAUCCAGCCAUGCCGCGUGUGUGAAGAAGGCCUUUUGGUUGUAAAGCACUUUAAGUGGGGAGGAAAAGCUAAUAAUUAAU
RNAcentral lists this ribosomal RNA (453 nucleotides) under Moraxella sp. canine oral taxon 017. RNAcentral's name for it is "bacterial SSU rRNA". It matches the Rfam family "Bacterial small subunit ribosomal RNA", at positions 9 to 464 of the family's 1533-position model. Lineage: Bacteria; Pseudomonadati; Pseudomonadota; Gammaproteobacteria; Moraxellales; Moraxellaceae. The record is from RNAcentral.